GGAAAAGAAGCUUGGGGCUCCAGACGAUACUGCAUUAUGGUGAACUGUGUCAUUAUUUCAUUAUAUGUUACAACAUAAUAAUAAUAGAAAUAAAGUAUACAAUGAAUGUAAUACACUUGAAUCAUCCCAAAACCACCCAACCCCCAGUCUGUAGAAAAUUUGGUUUCCACAAAGUUCAUCCCUGCCAAAAAGGUUGGGGACUUUUGCCAUAGAGUAUAUUUAUUACUUAUUAGAACCUCUUAUUACAUUCUGGGACAAUUAUCACUCACUGUUCUCAACUGCCCAAUUGUGAAAUUCCUUGUCUGAAAUAGUUUCUGAGGCUCUGAGGUUUGAUACAGCAGGUGUGAUGGAGACAGCAUGCUUUACAUCUGCACUUGUGUUGAAGUCAGGGUUUGCAAGGGAACAGAUUUAAUACAGGACACAUCAUUUAUAGGAUUAUUUUAUAGUAUUCACCCAAAAAGUCAAAGGCAGAGUAGUGCAAUAGAUGUGUCUAUGUGCUAGAGAUCCAAAAAUCCAGCCAAGGGUGUCCCACACAAGUGCAGCUGAAGGCCUAGAGUCCAAGGCAAUGUCCUCUAUGAGUCCAGCCAGAGGCCCAGAGGCCCAGAGCCCACAGCAAUGUCUCAUACCAGUCUUUAUCAAGGGUCUGCACUGGGAAGCCCCAAAGGCCAGUGGUGAAAGCUAGAAAGUUUUCUCCAAAGAAUGAAGGAUCUGUGCCACCAGGCUGCACUGGAGACAGGAAGAGACACUCAAAGCCAAGACCAGAGCUGCCCUGAUGAGAACAACAGCCAUCCCCAGUGACAAUGAGGAUCCAAGCUCCUCUAAUGAUGUGAACAACCAAGUUCAUAUCAGGAAAACCAGCCACCAUAGAAAGCUUUUCCCGGAAAAUCAGCAGGCCACAAUCUUCUCCUCCAGUUAUCCUUUUAUACUGUUGGCAGCAGCUCUCAGGUUCCUCUUCCAUACCCAGAAUCACGCUGACCCAGUUCAGCUAGGCAUGCCAAGUUAGCCAUUCGUUAGUCCACCAGAACCUGUGAGGGGUGACAGAGGUGAGAUCCGGCAGAAGGAGAUGCGAAACUGAUGGAGUUGGAAUGCAAUUCAAUCCCACAGGGAGCCCUGGAGCUGAGAGGGUUGAGAUAAGAUUGAGACAGUGUCCAACUAAGUUGCCCAAGCGGCACUCAAACUUGUGGUCCUUCUACCUCAGCUUCUAAAGAGGUUUUUAAUAAAGACCAAGG
Molecule: long non-coding RNA, 1229 nt
Filed under: Heterocephalus glaber (naked mole-rat)
Lineage: Eukaryota; Metazoa; Chordata; Mammalia; Rodentia; Bathyergidae
Description: lncRNA (ENSHGLG00000039805.1)
Source: RNAcentral